RNAcentral lists this ribosomal RNA (1779 nucleotides) under human oral metagenome. RNAcentral describes it as "bacterial LSU rRNA". It matches the Rfam family "Bacterial large subunit ribosomal RNA", at positions 1159 to 2925 of the family's 2925-position model. The record is from RNAcentral.
AUGCGCCGACAAUAUACGGGGCUAAGCACGGUACCGAAGCGGCGGACCCGCGCGCGAGCGCGGGUGGUAGGGGAGCUUUCCGUCCGGGGCGAAGCGAGGGGGCGACCCCCCGUGGACCGGCCGGAAGUGAGAAUGCUGGCAUGAGUAGCGAGAGGGGCGUGAGAAACGCCCCCGCCGUAAACCCAAGGUUUCCUGGGCAAGGCUAAUCCUCCCAGGGUCAGUCGGGUGCUAAGGCGAGGCCGGAAGGCGUAGCCGACGCGCAGCAGGCAGACAUUCCUGCACCCCCGACGCGGCGCCAUCACCGACGGGGUGACGGAGAAGGGUAGCUCAGCGGGGUUCUGGACGUCCCCGUGAGGCCACGUAGGCCGGGCGGCUGUGAAACGCGCCGCCCGCGAGGGCUGAGGUGGCUGACGAAGCGACUGGGUGAAGUGAGUGAGCCCAUGCUCCCGAGAAAAACCCCUAGGGAUGCCGCGCGGGGCCCGUACCGCAAACCGACACAGGUGGGUGGGUAGAACAUACCAAGGCGAUCGGGAGAACUAUGGUUAAGGAACUCGGCAAAACUGCCCCGCAACUUCGGGAGAAGGGGUGCCGCCGCCGGUGGAGGGGCUUGCCCCCCGAGCUGGUGGCGGCCACAGUGAAGAGGUCCAAGCGACUGUUUAUCAAAAACACAGGACUCUGCUGAAGUCGUAAGACGACGCAUAGGGUCUGACGCCUGCCCGGUGCCGGAAGGUCACGAGGAGCCGUCAGCGAGAGCGAAGCGGCGAAUCCAAGCCCCGGUAAACGGCGGCCGUAACUAUAACGGUCCUAAGGUAGCGAAAUUCCUUGUCGGGUAAGUUCCGACCUGCACGAAAGGCGUAACGAUUUGGACGCUGUCUCAACCAUAGACCCGGUGAAAUUGCACUAGUCGUGAAGAUGCGACUUACCCGCGGAAGGACGGGAAGACCCCGUGAACCUUUACUGCAGCUUGACAUUGGCUGCCGGUUCGUCGUGUAGAGGAUAGGUGGGAGACGCCGAACCAGGGACGCCAGUCCCUGGGGAGUCACCCUUGGAAUACCACCCUCGACGUUCUGGCAUCCUAACCCCGCGCCGUGAUCCGGGCGGGGGACCGUGUCAGGUGGGUAGUUUGACUGGGGCGGUCGCCUCCUAAAGAGUAACGGAGGCGCACAAAGGUCUGCUCAGCCUGGUCGGCAACCAGGCCGCUGAGUGCAAGAGCGCAAGCAGGCUCGACUGCGAGGCCCACGAGCCGAGCAGGGACGAAAGUCGGUUCUAGUGAUCCGGCGGCCCAGAGUGGAAUGGCCGUCGCUCAACGGAUAAAAGGUACUCCGGGGAUAACAGGCUGAUCUUCCCCAAGAGUCCACAUCGACGGGAAGGUUUGGCACCUCGAUGUCGGCUCAUCGCAUCCUGGGGCUGGAGCAGGUCCCAAGGGUAUGGCUGUUCGCCAUUUAAAGCGGUACGCGAGCUGGGUUCAGAACGUCGUGAGACAGUUUGGCCCCUAUCUGCUGUGAGCGCAUAGGAAUUUGAAAAGAUCUUCUUCUAGUACGAGAGGACCGAAGUGGAUGAACCUCUGGUGUAUCGGUUGUUAAGUAUAUUAGCAAUGCCGAGUAGCUAAGUUCAGAAUGGAUAACCACUGAAAGCAUCUAAGUGGGAAGCCAACUUUAAGAUAAGAUUCCUCUGCCUAGAGCAAUAAGUCCCCUUGGAGACUACAAGGUUGAUAGGUUGCAGGUGUAAGGAUAGUGAUAUUUUAAGCCGAGCAAUACUAAUAGGACGAAAGGAUUUUAA